AUGGAGUGCUGUUGCAGUGCUGGAUUCCGAAAUCCAGAUGAAUUUCUGAGCAGAGCGGGGAAGAGCGGAAAGCUCCGACCCAGAGGACAGGAGUUGGAGCAGGAGGUAGCUGGCUGUUGGACCAUUCCACUCGGGGUUAAAAUCCCUGUGCAGCCCGGCACAAGCUCCUUUUCGCCAGGAGAAAGCUGGGGAAAAGGUGAGAGAGUAAGAAGCGUCAAAAAGGGCUCUUGUUCCUGGGUUGCCGCCAUGCCAAGGAGGCCUUGUGUUGGGAUGCCAAUCCCAUGUGUUGGGAUGCUGGGGCAGGCACCCAUCAGGACAGAAAUGUGGAGACCGCGGUCGUUCCUGGAGGAGGGGUGAACCCUCUGCUCUCCUCUUGGAGGACUUAGGAAAACCCAGACAUGACUGUUUGGAAAGAGGAAAGAGGCCAGCCUGUGGGUGUGAGCAGCUUGGAAGUGUCUCUGUCUCUUUGCUGCUCUCUCCUUCCCCAUUCACACUCUACAACACAUCUCUUCCAGCUCCACCAGCCUUCUCCUCAGUUUGACCUGAGAGAUCCGUACAGUCGCAAUCUGUGCACAGAGUACAACAGCCUGCAUGACCCGCAUCUGCGGGAGUUCCACAACGACAAAAACAACCUGCGGAACUGGAAGAAACGGGCUUGGUCACCGAGGAUGGCGACGUAAGUUUGGCUGUUGGCUGACCAACACGGGUCUCCUCAGGAGGGCUUUCCAGUCUGCCAGGCAGGGGCCUGACACUACAGCCAUCUGUCAUUGCUCUUCUGUAGGUUGUCUGCACUCUGAAGGAGUUCAACGAGUACAGGCAGUACCUGACCAGGCUGAAGCUGGAGAAAAAGCAAGCAAAGAGGAGAAGAGGUAGGCAAAGCCCAGUAUUGGUAGGCACGUGUCAGCAGCAUGGCACUGAGGGCACGGGCUUUACUUGAUGGAUCUGAGGAGAUGGGAAAGCAGAAAAGUGAGGCGGGGCUGGUGGUCUAGGCAUUGAGGCAUGGAAAGGACAGCUCAGCUCAGAGCUGAGCUAGCACAGCGUGCUGGUGUGAAGGCAGCCUGGAAAGUUGCUUGCUUAACAAACAGAGCACUGUGGCAGCCGUUCUCUUCUGCCCUCAUUGCAAGGCUGAAGCAUGUGCUUGCCCUCUUCUGCGUUAAAGCAGCAGUACUUAGGGUGGGAAGCACUCUCUAAGACAAGACAAGCAUAAACCCUCUGUUCCUUCCAGGAUGAGCUUCUUCGGGAGAUUUCCAAUUUGAAGAAAUCGAUCCACAGACUACAGAUGGCCAGACAAGUUCCAGCCCGGUCCCGUGGAUUACAUUGCGGGUUCGAAAAUCAGACCCACCAAUUCUUCAUAAACCAGCUGGCCCCUCUCCUUCAUGCUAUAAUCUUCUGUCUGGCAAUGCAGAAGGAAUUGGCUUUGAGUGAGCGUGGCCUUCAGGGAGACUCAUGGAGCACAGGGCGGCAAUGAAGCUCCCUGAGAAGUCACCCAAACCUGCGUUGGGCAGGGAAGGCUCCAAACUCCCCAGAAGCAUCCGUACUGCUUCUGCCUCAACAACAAACUCCGGAGUCCCCAGAAGCAUCCAUACUGCUUCUGCCCCAACAACAACUCCGGAGUCCCCAGAAGCAUCCAGACUGCUUCUGCCUCAGCAACAAAACUCCAAACUCCCAGAAGCAUCGUACUGCUUCUGACCAAAAACAAACUCCAGAGUCCCUAGAAAGCAUCCAGGCCCCGUGAAGGGAAAAGGAAAAAAAGGGGAAAACAAGUAGGAGAUUGGCCAAAAAACAAAACAGUGGCAACAAAUUAGUUUUAAUUGGCUUAAUUAAUUUAAUUUGUUUAAUUCUUUUUAAUUUGUUUAAUUAAUUGACCAAAGAUGAUACCAGAAUGCAAGAUAACACACUACAGUACAAUAUAUCAUAAUUAGUAUCAGAAUUAGAAUUAAAACCAAUUAAAACCAAUAAAAAAAAUAAAAUUAGAAAGUGUGUCUGCA
RNAcentral lists this long non-coding RNA (1988 nucleotides) under Coturnix japonica (Japanese quail). Its description in RNAcentral is "lncRNA (ENSCJPG00005006903.1)". The record is from RNAcentral. Lineage: Eukaryota; Metazoa; Chordata; Aves; Galliformes; Phasianidae.